This 1456-nucleotide ribosomal RNA is filed under the name uncultured bacterium. RNAcentral's name for it is "16S ribosomal RNA". It matches the Rfam family "Bacterial small subunit ribosomal RNA". The record is from RNAcentral.
AGAGUUUGAUCCUGGCUCAGGAUGAACGCUAGCGGCGUACCUUAGGUAUGCAAGUCGAACGGUCUUGUUUCGGCAAGAUAGUGGCAGACGGGUGAGUAACGCGUAGGAACUUACCCUCUGGCGUGGAAUAGCUCAUCGAAAGGUGGGGUAAUACCGCAUAAGUUCCAACCUAGUUGGAAGAAAGAGCGUAACUGCUCACCAGUGGAAAGGCCUGCGUCCUAUCAGCUUGUUGGUGAGGUAAUGGCUCACCAAGGCAUUAACGGGUAGUUGGUGUGAGAGCACGACCAGCCACAGGGUCACUGAGACACGGGGCCCACACCUACGGGUGGCAGCAACCGGGAAUAUUGCGCAAUGGGCGAAAGCCUGACGCAGUGACGCCGCGUGGAGGAUGAAGGCCUUCGGGUCGUAAACUCCUUUUCUGAAGGAAGAUGAUGACGGUACUUCAGGAAUAAGCACCUGCAAACUACGUGCCAGCAGCCGCGGUAAUACGUAGGGUGCAAGCGUUAUCCGGAUUUACUGGGCGUAAAGAGUAUCGUAGGCUGAGUAGCAAGUUCUAGCUCAAAUUCCAAGGCUUAACUUUGGACCGGGUUAGAAUACUGUUAUUCUAGAACUAGGUAGGGGAUGCUGGAAUUCCUGGUGGAGGGGUGAAAUCCGUUGAUAUCGGGAGGAACACCGAGGGCGAAGGCAAGCAUCUGGGCCUCAGUUAACGCUGAUGAACGAAAGCUAGGGUAGCAAAAGGGAUUAGAGACCCCUGUAGUCCUAGCCGUAAACGAUGUCCGCUAGUUUGUCCGAUUUUUUAAUUGGACUGACGUAAGCUAACGCGUUAAGCGGACCGCCUGGGGAGUACGACCGCAAGGUUAAAACUCAAAGGAAUUGACGGGGAUCUGCACAACCAGUGGAGCAUGUGGUUCAAUUCGAUACGAAGCGUAGAACCUUACCUGGGCUUGACAUGUUACUGCACGCCCUUCGAAAGAGGGGAAGCCUUAGAGGGUGUAACACAGCUGCUGCAUGGCUGUCGUCAGCUCUAGUCGUGAGAUGUUCCCUUAAGUGGGGUAUAGAGCGCAACCCUUAUCCUGUGUUGUAUAUCACAGGAAACUGCCUCAGUUUAACUGGGGAGGAAGGAGAGGAUGACGUCAAGUCAGCAUGGUGCUUACGUCCAGGGCGACACACAUCCCACAAUGGAUGCUACAAUGGGUUGCUAAGCCGUAAGGUGGAGCUAAUCCCAAAAAAGCAUCCUCAGUUCGGAUUGUGGGCUGCAAUUCGCCCACAUGAAGUCGGAAUUGGUAGUAAUCGCGGGUCAGCAGACCGCGGUGAAUACGUUCUCAGAUCUUGUACACACUGCCCGUCAAGCGAGGAAAGUUGGGGGUACCCGAAGCUGUUUUUCUUGUCCCGAGUUAAUCGGAAAAGAAAGCAUUUAAGGUAAACUCAGCGAUCAGCACUAAGUCGUAACAAGGUA